GUUCAUGCUAGCUCUUCUAUUGACCAAAUGAAUGCUGCAAAUAGAAAUUCUGUGAUGUUGGAUGAAUACUCUGACGAAGACGAAGAAUAUCAAAUACCUGAGAGUGAACAAGAGGUCUACCCAAAUGAGCAGGAGAAUGAUGUCAAGAAAGCAGCCUUGGAAGAAGAAUCAACAGAUCGAAUUGAUUUAUCCAGUUUCUCGGGAAAUAUAAGGCAUGAUGAUCGUGAUGGUUCUCGAGAUUGCUGGAGAAUUUCUGAUGGGAACAACUUCAGAGUUCGUAGUAAGACCUUUUGUUUCGAUAAGACUAAGAUUCCAGCUGGGAAGCAUUUAAU
Molecule: unclassified non-coding RNA, 332 nt
Filed under: Hevea brasiliensis (rubber tree)
Lineage: Eukaryota; Viridiplantae; Streptophyta; Magnoliopsida; Malpighiales; Euphorbiaceae
Source: RNAcentral